This is a long non-coding RNA of Mya arenaria, 4118 nucleotides long. RefSeq lists it as uncharacterized. The record is from RefSeq and is a predicted model, not a curated record. The transcript is spliced from 4 exons. Lineage: Eukaryota; Metazoa; Mollusca; Bivalvia; Myida; Myidae.
AACGGUUUGAGAAAGCAGACUGACGAAAUCGUAUUUUAGUCUAAAAUUCCCUACAUCAAAGUAGCCUUUGAAAAAAUCAAGUGGGCCAUACCUAAGUUAUUUGAAAGUCAAAAUAUUGUGGUAUACUGCAGCAGCCCAGAUGGCAUUUGGUGAUAGCAAUGAUUUUAUCUUGCCAAGGUUUAUUGUGGCACCAAUUUCAGCAAAUCAAAAGUUGGAUGCUCUCUACCAUCAAGAGACAUUCGGAAGACUGAGGACAAGACAGUUCACAUUCUCAAAACACAAAAGUCCUGGUAACAGUUGUUUGAGUGUGCGUGAAAUGCAAAGGCUCAUCGGGCAAGCAAUUGUUCAUGGGCUGCCAUUGUCUCCUCCAGGUGGCUCGCCAUUCACCACAGAAAACAAGGGUGUGUGUCUCCGGUAUAAUCGUUCAGGUUGAAGCUCAGCACAUAAUGACAAGGUAUACAAUGUGGAUGUGACCAUUAUGCUUCAUGCUGUAGACAGAGAUAUGGGAGGGCAGGAGACGUACUGAUGUCGUGCAUAAAUGAUGUCGUUGCCAACACCCACAACUCAUUCACAUCACCUUUUACACCAACAUUAAAUAUACAGAUAAUCUGAGCUAAAGAGACCCAAGAGAGCAUCAAGGUCGUCAACCUACUGCAGACUGGAGUUACAUUUGGCUUAUGUCCCAAGGCUGACUGUUUCCAUGGAACUCAUUUUGCUUCCUUACCCGUCCUACAUUUUGAUCAACUGACAGCAGAUCAAUUGCAUCUUAAAUAAAACUGUUCUGACAUCUGACAGCAGCUUCGUCAAAAUAGAACUGAACCGCUUGGAAUGAAACCAACUUUAGUCAUAAACACACAUUUUUAAUGUGUGCUUGGACAUUUAGUAGUGAACAGUUUAGUUCUUAACAUUAUCAAAAUAAGCUAUUUUAACAUUUUGAACAUUCAAUUCUCUGCCUAUCCUUCAUGAACAUUUUUUAUGCCUAGAAAUAUCUUUAUAUGAACAAUCAAAUUAAAUAACAGCUUCUCACAACAUGAUAUUUUGUUAAGUUUUAGAAAACAUACUCAAAGACACUUCAGUAAUGAAAUUGCUUUUGAAAAAACUAGGGAUGGCAACGAGUAGUAAAAUUAAUACUCGAGUACUCGGACGAUCGUUCGAUCGAGUACUCGGGUACUCGAUUACUCGGAAAAAUUGAAUAUGUGUUCGCAAAGACAAGAUUGUGUAUACAUGUAUCGUUAAUGACGUAUAUUGUGCGUUGGUCGUAUUAUUGGUUAUUUUCACCUUUAAAGUAAACUUUCAUUACGUAAUUUAACAAAAAAUGAUAUAAACAGAAAACAAAUGUUGUUUCAGGCUUUUAAUUUGUCAUAUUCGUUUCAUUUUAUACAAGUAUGCACUGCAGAAAUGAACAACAAUCAGAAUUACAAUGAACGAAAAUUAUUAGCACACAUAAAAAUAGUGAACGAAAUUCAAUACGAAGUUCAGUUGUUUACUCUACCAAUCAUUUAUUUUAAAUGAUAGUUUUUCGUACUGUGUAAUUGUUGUUUACCUCAUUAAUAUUCAUAAUUCUUGAUUCAAAAUAUCAACCAAUCAAUUGUGAUAAUCAUUGCAAUUUUUUUUAAAAUACGCCCAUUAAGAAAUCAGUUCUCGUAACGGUCGAUACUCUUUCGCUCAUUAGCGUCCAUUGUUUGGUUAAAUUGUUUGGUGAAAGGUCUCUAAUUGGUAUACAAUAGAAUUGUGUAGGUGAAAGUACCGCUAUCAAAACUUCGCUAAUUGACAUCAGUGCUAAUUUGAAAUAGGGGUCCUUUGUUGACAGUUUGCAACUACCACAACAACUGUCAACUAAUUGAUUGAGGUCAAUUGUGUACACAGCUGGGGAUUAGAGGGACCGUAAAUUAUCCUCUUGGCAACUAACCAGAUCUGAUAUUUUGUCUGUAAAUCGUGUAUUUGGUGAUUUUUAUAGAUUUUAAAAAAAAAUCCGAGUACUCGGUUACUCGUUGCCAUCUCUAGAAAAAACGUUUCAUUAGUUUACAGUAUGAAAUAAAUAGGUAUUUCACCAGCAAAGAGAACCUCGUAACCUGAAAAUACAUGAAAUUUAACUUCAAUAACAUUAUUUCUAAAAACAGGAAAUAUUCACUAUUACUAUGUGUUUUGAAAUUUGUUUGUACAAAUCGCUGCAAGUAUAUCAACUUAUAUUGUUCUUUCAAUUGUAUCAUGUAUAUUUAAUUGUUUGCACAUAACUAAACCACAAAUGAUUAAGUUUUGAUCUCAUUUUAUGUUUCUCUUGUCUAAUACAAAUGUUACUCAAUAGAUUUUUAUGAUGGGUAUACUUUCUAGUUUUUCAUGUAGUAUGUGAUAAUUGUCAGCUGCAUCAUUUCAUUCAGGUAAAUCUGUAUCUAAAUUUCUUUGCAAGCCAUCGACCCAUUCUUUGCCUCAAAUGUAAUGAUACAUGUAUAUUUUAUGUGGUUGCAGUCAGAACAGGUAUUAAUAUUUAUGAACCCGAUAGUCAGUACACGAAGUGCUCAAGGUGAGCUAUUGUGAUCGCCCUGUGUCUGUCAUCAACAAUUUGAGUGUUAACACUCUAGAGGGCACAAUUUACGCACAAUCUUAAUGAAACUUGGUCAGAAUGUUACCCUCAAUAAAAUCUUGGACGAGUUCGAUAUUGGGUCAUCUAGGGUUAAAAACAAAUCACCAGUUCAAAUUGAAGGAAAAGCUUGUUAACACUAUAGAGGUCACAUGUAUGACUGUAUCUUCAGGAAUCUUGGUCAGAAUGUUAAUAUUAAUAAUUUCUAGGUCAAGUUCGAAUCUGGUUCAUGUGCAGUCAAAAACUAGGUCACCAGGUCAAAUUGAAGGAAAAGCUUGUUAACACACUAGAGGUCACAUUUAUAACUGUAUCUUAAUGAAAGUUGGUCAGAAUGUUUAUAUUAAUAAUCUUAAAGUCAAGGUAAAAUCUGGGUCAUGUGCGGUCAAAAUUUAGGUUACCAGGCCAAAUCAUAGGAAAAGCUUGUUAGCACUCUAGAGGUCACAUUAAUGACUGUAUGUUCAUGAAACUUAAUAAGAAAGUAUAUAUUGUUAGCUUUAGGCCAAGUUCGAAUCUGGGUCACGUGUGUUCAAAAACAAGAUCACCAGGUCAAAUUUAAGGAAAAGUUUGUUAACACUGUAGAGGUCACAUUUAGAAUUGUAUAUUCAUGAAAGUUGCUCAAAAUGUUUAUAUCAAUAAUCUCUAAGUCAAGUUUGAAUACGGGUCAUGUGAGGUCAAAACUAGGUCAUUAGGUCAAAUCAUAGAAAAAGCUUAUUAGCACUCUAGAGGUCACGAUAUGACUGUAUGUUCAGUAAAAACUAGGUCACCAGGUCAAAUAAUAGGAAAAGCAAGUUAACACUCUAGAGGCCACAUUUAUGAGCAUAUGUUCAUGGAACUUGAUCAGAAUGUUAUUCUUGCUGAUCUUUAGGUAGAGAUUGAAACUGGGUUAUCAGAGGUCAGAAACCAGGCCACUAGGGUCAAAUCAUAGAAAAACUCUAUAGUGUAAACACUGUAGAGGUUACAUUCUCUCUUUGAUCACCAUGAGACUAUGUCAGAAUGUUUGUUUUUAUGAAGUCUAUGUCACACUUGAAUUGGAUCAGUUGAGCGAUAUAGGGCCUUCAGGGCCCUCUUGUUGAAAAUAAAAUUUUCAUUUGCUCAAUUGCUAUGGUAAUUUUUUUUAAGUUUCAAAAAAUCAAUCUUGUGAUAUAGCUUUCGUGUUGCAUCCACCAUGACCCCAAGCCUUACCUUUUCUUAAACAUCUGAAUAUUCAAGUAAAGACUACUAAAUAUCAUGAUUUUCUGUUUUGUCAAUUCACAAAAAAUUAACAGACAAGGGCUGAUAUCCAAAUGGUACUCAUUGUGUACUGCCAGAAAUGAAUAAUUUUAUGUCAAUAACUUGAGCACACCUCACCUGUCAACAGUCAUUAAUUCUUUAAUAAUUACUUUAUUGUUGACAUACAUUCAAGUAAGCCUUCCAUUCAACUGCAAAUAAUCUAAUAAACUCUGGUAUGAUUGUUGUUUGUUAAAAAUUUCUCUUUUCUAGCUGUUGUGAAUUGACUCAUUUUCUAUCCGAUAUAGAUCAAUAAACAAACACCAGAGUUCAA